CAAAAGAUAGUUUAAACAAAACACUGGCUUUGGAUUCCAGCAACAGGUUCUAAGAACCUUCUUUUGA
Molecule: transfer RNA, 67 nt
Filed under: Calotes mystaceus
Lineage: Eukaryota; Metazoa; Chordata; Lepidosauria; Squamata; Agamidae
Description: tRNA-Pro
Rfam family: tRNA
About the family: Transfer RNA (tRNA) molecules are approximately 80 nucleotides in length.
Source: RNAcentral